GACGAACGCUGGCGGCAUGCCUAAUACAUGCAAGUCGAGCGAACAGAUGAAGUGCUUGCACUUCUGACGUUAGCGGCGAACGGUUGAGUAACACGUAAGGAAUCUACCUAUAAGCGGGGGAUAACAUUCGGAAACGGGUGCUAAUACCUCAUAAUAUCUUCUUCCGCAUGGAAGAAGAUUGAAAGACGGCUCCGCUGUCACUUAUAGAUGACCUUGCGGUGCAUUAGUUAGUUGGUGGGGUAAUGGCUUACCAAGACGAUGAUGCAUAGCCGACCUGAGAGGGUGAUCGGCCACAUUGGGCCUGAGGCACGGCCCAAACUCCUACGGGAGGCAGCAGUAGGGAAUCUUCCGCAAGGGGCGAAAGCCUGACGGAGCAAUGCCGCGUGAGUGAAGAAGGUCUUCGGGUCGUAAAACUCUGUUAUAAGAGAAGAACAAACUGUAGAGUAACUGCUACAGUCUUGACGGUAUCUUAUCAGAAAGCCACGGCUAACUACGUGCCAGCAGCCGCGGUAA
RNAcentral lists this ribosomal RNA (513 nucleotides) under uncultured bacterium. Its description in RNAcentral is "partial 16S ribosomal RNA". It matches the Rfam family "Bacterial small subunit ribosomal RNA", at positions 28 to 523 of the family's 1533-position model. The record is from RNAcentral.